GUGCGAUUACGACUUAGAAGCUUGGAGGAAUCUGGUGGAGCCACGAGCAACCGCUGAGCUUCGGAGGGGCUUUGAUAUCAUGGAUUUGGACGAUGGUAUUGGAUGGGAACUCCUCACGUCGAUGGUCCGUUACAAAGCGCGGCAAAGGAUCAGUGCUGAGGCUGCAUUGGCGCACCCAUACUUCAACCGUGAAGGCCUUCUUGGCCUCUCUGUCAUGCAAAACGUACGGCUGCAACUGUUCCGGGCAACCCAGAAGGACUACAGUGAAGCAGCUCGUUGGGUUGUCGGCCUCAUGGCAAGGUCAGGAACUGAAGAUGUGGGAGGCUUUACAGAAGCACAGCUUCAAGAGCUUAGGGUACGUAUGGCAGCCUUACCUUUGUACCUUUUCUGAGGCAAGCAUGAUAACAUAAUAACCAGUACGUGGAACACAAAGAUUUGAAAUGCGUACUGGAGUUGAUGAUUUAUUGCAGCAGUUCCCAGACAAACAAGCUUUUCAUUUGAAAUCACUAACCUUACGUAGAGCACACAAAAGGUUUGUAAUAUCAGGAGUUGUUGACUUGUUGCAGCAGUUAGAAGACAGGGUUUCAUUUCGAUAUCGGAAUGCUGACUCCAGGGAUAAACAUAUAAUCGGUGAGGAGAACACACCAAAGACUCACCACUUGUGUAUGUGUCUCUCUCUUUUCGUGUAGGAAAUAAAGCCGAAGAAAGGCAGCGCCCAGCGGAACGUGCUGGCCUCCCUGCUGCGCGUGCAGAGGAAGAUCGUGAGAACGAUCAACGAGAGCAUGGACGAUCUCACCAGCCAGCGCAAAAGCAUCUGGUGGAGCCGGUGGAUACCGAGGGAGGAGUAGGCCGGCGCACCUGU
RNAcentral lists this long non-coding RNA (862 nucleotides) under Setaria viridis. Its description in RNAcentral is "long non-coding RNA (SVIR_LNC002687)". Lineage: Eukaryota; Viridiplantae; Streptophyta; Magnoliopsida; Poales; Poaceae. The record is from RNAcentral.